Molecule: ribosomal RNA, 425 nt
Filed under: uncultured bacterium
Lineage: Bacteria
Description: bacterial SSU rRNA
Rfam family: Bacterial small subunit ribosomal RNA
Source: RNAcentral
GGGGAAUAUUGGACAAUGGGGGCAACCCUGAUCCAGCCAUGUCGUGUGUGUGAAGAAGGCCUUCGGGUUGUAAAGCACUUUAAGCGGGGAGGAAGGCCUGAUGGCUAAUAUCCAUCGGGAUUGACGUUACCCGCAGAAUAAGCACCGGCAAACUUCGUGCCAGCAGUCGCGGUAAUACGAAGGGUGCGAGUGUUAAUCGGAAUUAUUGGGCGUAAAGCGCGCGUAGGUGGUUAAGUAAGCGAUCUGUGAAAGCCCCGGGCUUAACCUGGGAACUGCAGGUCGAACUGCUUGGCUAGAGUAUGGUAGAGGGGUGUGGAAUUUCCUGUGUAGCGGUGAAAUGCGUAGAUAUAGGAAGGAACAUCAGUGGCGAAGGCGACACCCUGGACCGAUACUGACACUGAGGCGCGAAAGCGUGGGUAGCGAAC